This is a long non-coding RNA of Gasterosteus aculeatus aculeatus (three-spined stickleback), 2290 nucleotides long. RefSeq lists it as uncharacterized. The record is from RefSeq and is a predicted model, not a curated record. Lineage: Eukaryota; Metazoa; Chordata; Actinopteri; Perciformes; Gasterosteidae.
UUCUAUGCCGCUUGCUCUUCUUACGGGGCCGCGUGGGAGGGUGGACCAUGUCAAAACAUGAGGUGGAGGGCAGGCGUGAAGCACAUGUCGAGAGGCGCACGUUUGCUCCACACGUGCACGGCGGCUGUGAGCUUGCCAACGCCGACCUUCCACACGUGCUCACUUGCGGCGAAAUAUUGAAGAAUCAACGGUUCCCAGGCUUCGGAGGUGGAGGCUGUGCACACUCAGCUGCUCUGACUUCCAGUAAGCAAAGACGGUCUUGCUCUCCUAUGGCGAGGUUGCCGCACAAGGUGGCUUAAAAAGCAUUGAGCAUGUGAUGCUUCGCCAAUGCGGGCGAGCUGACAACGGAUGAGGUGUUAAUCAGCAGGAAAGACAAAGGCCAGUCCCUGCAGCGAGAGCAGGCGGGCUGGUGGAGUUGGGGGCAGGGCGCCUCCCUUUCUUUCAGCCUCCGGAGCCUGCUGACAGCUGCUCGGGGAGGCCUGGGGGCCUGCUGCUCACCACAGCCACAUCCUGGAAGAUUCAGGAUACAUGCGUGCUCACGUGCGCCAGCGGCUCGGAGCAACGUGAAACAAAAAGCGGCCCCGACAAAGACCAAAGGCCCUGGUGUUUACUCAAUCUGUCCACUUGUGUUAAUAUUGGAGGGAUCCCUCGUGGCCGCGAGAGGGACAGGACACACAAACGCGCCGUUUAAAGGUUUAAGUCCAUCACAAGCCGACGGCUGCUUCCUGUCGGCGGCCCAAGCUCUAAUUACCCGGGUCCCCGCGGCUUGACCUGUAGGCUGUCACGUCUAAAGCGCUAACCGCGCCCAGGUUGUGGAGAAAUGUUUGUAGUCUCCUCGUGGAAUUGCGUGGCGGGAGUUUGGAAGAGGCCAUGUGUGGCAAUGAUGAGAUUAGCAAAAAUAAAACAAAAUAUUUCACAUUAUAUGCUUGAUCAGAGCUAGAAUCAUCAUUGGUGGUGUUUGUUAACCUUAUGAUAUUAUAUAUGCAAAGAUUAAGCGAGGCUGCGACCAGAUAUUGAUGCCACUAAAUGUGUUCACGUGUUUAACUUGGAUCAAUAGAGAAAGUAGAAGCCUGACCGGCUAACUUCAACUGUCCAUACCGAUGACAGGAGUGAGAAAUGUCUCUGAGGCAUCAAGGACAAGAGGAGGAGAUAACUGCCGCGUGCAGGGCUGUUGGAUGCGUGCCAAGGGUUCUGCUUUUGAAGCCACCGUGCCAUUUGCACAGUGUCUCCGGGGACUGGUGGAAGACGCCAAAUGAACCACAACACGCCAGGCUGGGUGGGGAUCAUUUUCCUCAUGACUGUACAGCUUUGCGGAGCACAUUUCCACACACCACGAGCAAAGGCAUCCUCUGCGGUGUUCAGAUGGAAGUGUGUUUGUGAGAUGAUCUUUUUAGCUCGAGCUCAUAAAAGUCCGUCCUCAGAGAAGUCCAAAUGAACCAAAGACAAUUUUACCUCAUCAUUUUGACAAAGCAUGAAGAAACGCUGUGUUAACACGAGUAUUAGUCUCACUAUUUGUACACUCACUUCCUCUGCGGCUCAUUCGGUCUGCUGUGCCGCACCUCCGUGAGUAAUCUCAAGUCCCGGAAAAUAUUCCCAUUACCAUUCACAUCAUGUUACCGCUAACACGGGACCACCCAAAGGGCCUAAUCUGGGGUACACAGCAGACAUGUGGUCUGAACAAUGUCGAGGCAGGUUUGACUUUCUUAGCCCUGGCUCUCCUCCUGCGAGCAUCCCCUCACACAGACAGGCCAGGCUUCCUCCACAGUUAAUUACGGCCACAGCUUGCAUGGAGGCAUAUCAUUAGCAGUAAUUGCACACGGCAUCCCAUUGCCAUGUGCCUCCCUUUUCUUUUUUUUUUCCCCCUGUCCCAGAUUUACGCUGCACUGAUCCAUGAAGGAAGAGUGCAGCCCUCCACAUGCUCUGAAUGGACAACUACAAGGCUUUUGUGCGCGAGCGUGGGCUCGGAAAUACAGCAGCGAGUCCGGGAACAGGGCUUCAGAGAGGGCUGGAUGCAGAUAAAAAAAAAAAAGGAAUAGCCACAUGUGGAUAGAUGGCACAUUCAGCUGCAGGAAAUACAGGGAUUAGCGUGAGGCGGAGGGUGUUUGUUGUGUAAGCAAGUAAAAAGGUGCAGGUUUUUAUAUCAACAGCGGGCGCAGGUUGAAGAACCGGUCGGCACACGUUGAAGCAUAAACUCAGUUUCAAAUCAAAACACAAUAAGCCGGUUUCAUCUCUGCAGCCUGUGCAGAUGGAAAGGAGUGGGCGGCUGUAGCACGCCACCGCACACCACCUG